This 603-nucleotide ribosomal RNA is filed under the name Triticum aestivum (bread wheat). Its description in RNAcentral is "partial small subunit ribosomal RNA". The record is from RNAcentral. Lineage: Eukaryota; Viridiplantae; Streptophyta; Magnoliopsida; Poales; Poaceae.
AUGGGGUGGGGGCAGGGCGGCGUACUGAUCCGGGGACGGGGCGGCGCACUGGCCGGACCAGGGAACGGGAGAGAUCUGAGGGCGGGGUGGCGUGUGCCAGAUCCAGGGCCGGCGGCGGCGCGCGGGAUCCAGGGCGUGGGAGGGGGGUGGUGUAUCGAGAGGAAUCGAGGGAAGUGGUGGAUCGCUCGAUCCGGGCUCGUCGAUUUGGGUAACGAGGCACUUCCUCAUGUCAACGAUCCUCCUAUGCAUCUCAUAGCAUGUGUACAUGCUCUUGGCCGUGAACCUAAGGUUCUUGCAGGCCAAGCUCAUAACACUGAGUGUGUUUACAUCGUCAGUGGUUUCCACCGUGGUGAACUUGUAGUCGGUGCUGUUGACAAGCCUGUUGAAAUGGUCGCAAGGCUCUGUGGCCAUGCAGUAGUGGUAGAUGAGGACAUGAUGGCCCACACACAACUGGGCGACGGCAACCUUCUGAUCUAUGCCGAGACGACCGGUGGUGUACUGGAGGUUGAUGCCGACCGCCUUGUACUUGUCUCGAGCAAGCAACUACUCAACGUUGUUGAUGUAGUCGUCCACCACGUCCGGGUCGAUGGUGUACACCACUGA